Long non-coding RNA from Daphnia pulicaria, 1366 nucleotides. RefSeq lists it as uncharacterized. Lineage: Eukaryota; Metazoa; Arthropoda; Branchiopoda; Diplostraca; Daphniidae. The transcript is spliced from 7 exons. The record is from RefSeq and is a predicted model, not a curated record.
UAUAGGGAGCGUUGUAAUUUGAUUCCUGCCUUUUGCUUGUUGAGGUGACGACACACUCUCUGGAGCUCAUCCAGCAACAAAUCUGCAAGAAAAACCAAAUAAUUCACAGUCCACACCUAGAUUUUGGUCCCAUUCGGAGAUUGGGUACUGUGUCUCGUACAGUUGUAUUGCCUCCGCAUCUCCAUUAAGGUUCCAUGACUAUUGAUGACUGGUGGUACUCAUCGACGUUGAAUUCGGGAAAGCUGCUGGAGUAAUCUAGUGUUCAUCCUCUUGAUUCAUUUCGUGUCAGCUAGCAGCUAGUGAAAGGCGUAACGAUUCGAGCUGAGUUGCUGCCGCUGCGUGCUGUCUGCAAGAAAGCAAUCAAAUUAGCUGUCGCUAGGUGGCUUAAAAUAAUUUCCACUAGGUUGCGCGAGUGUCUUCAGGGAUAAAUGAAUUAUGGUCGUGACGUUUCUCAUGAUGAAAAUGGAAAGGUCCAAUGCAACAGUAACAGUCCGCUGCUGGUUAUUUUGUUGCAGACAGCUGGGGAUAGGUGUUCCUUUUGCAGGUGUGCUACCUGUACUGGUUGUAAUUUUCAUCAUGUACAGAAACAAUUCUUAAGCAGGAUGUCGAAGAUCUUUCCUUUCUCCACGUGGUUGCUGAAGUGUCAUGAAGAUGUGUGUUUGGGAGGGUCUCUACUAUAUUGCAAGACAAAAGUGUGAUGAAAACAGGAAAUCUGAAAUGGUGUCCAUGGUUCAGUUUGGUGGUACAUUGGUUUUGCAGUCCUUUUCCAGAUGAGAGAUGCGCUGAAAUUGGGCUUGUAUAGACUUACAGUUCAACAUCAUACGUGUGUCAUGUGUCAUUUGCCUUUUAUGGUGUCCAUGCAGUAUAUGCAGUGUUGAACAGUUGGGUAACAUAGUCAAUGUUGCCUGAUGGCUGUCGGGCUUAUUUUAUCGGCUGCGUUUUGUCGAUAUGUCGUCUGUUGCUACCUGUAACCGCGUUGAGUUCAAUCGUCAGCUGCCGUUCCAUAGAUCCAUUGGUGGAACUGAGGAGAGGUUGCUGAAAUUCAAGACUCGUCAAUAAAUUAUGUAGAUGUAGACAAAUUACAAGUGCAUAUUUGGGCUCCCUUCUUCAGUGGCCCCGUUUCCUAAAAAACCAGUAACCAACGCCCGCCGGUGGUCACUCACUCGCUGCGAUAACCAGGAGGAAGGGAGAUGUUUGAUUGAACGGGGACUUGCAAGGGGAAUGAUUCGAUGAAAUCUGUUGGAGGGUCAUGAGUGAGUCUAAGCCGGAAGUCUAUGUAUGAUGCAUGGCUCUCUUAAAAACUGUUCCUCGGCUCUCUUCGCUCUUUUUCCGGUUUCUCUCAACCAUGGUCGGGUAAUCUCCCUGG